Molecule: ribosomal RNA, 253 nt
Filed under: uncultured bacterium
Lineage: Bacteria
Description: partial 16S ribosomal RNA
Rfam family: Bacterial small subunit ribosomal RNA
Source: RNAcentral
UACGUAGGUGGCAAGCGUUGUUCGGAAUUACUGGGCGUAAAGGGUUCGUAGGUGGCCAACUAAGUCAUACGUGAAAUCCCUCAGCUUAACCGGGGAACUGCGUCUGAUGCUGGUUGGCUUGAGUGCAGGAGAGGAACACGGAAUUCCAGGUGUAGCGGUGAAAUGCGUAGAUAUCUGGAGGAACACCGGUGGCGAAGGCGGCGUUCUGGACUGCAACUGACACUGAGGAACGAAAGCCAGGGGAGCAAACGGG